UAGGGAAGUCUUCCACAAUGGACGCAAGUCUGAUGGAGCAACGCCGCGUGAGUGAAGAAGGGUUUCGGCUCGUAAAGCUCUGUUGUUAAAGAAGAACGUGGGUAAGAGUAACUGUUUACCCAGUGACGGUAUUUAACCAGAAAGCCACGGCUAACUACGCGCCAG
RNAcentral lists this ribosomal RNA (165 nucleotides) under uncultured bacterium. RNAcentral's name for it is "partial 16S rRNA". It matches the Rfam family "Bacterial small subunit ribosomal RNA", at positions 355 to 511 of the family's 1533-position model. The record is from RNAcentral.